CGAGUGCCCCAAGCGUUAUCCGGAAUUACUGGGCGUAAAGGGUGUGUAGGUGGUUUGGUUAGUCUGUCGUUAAAACUCCCGGCUUAACCGGGAAAGUGCGAGGGAAACGGCCAAACUAGAGAGGUUGAGAGGCAUGCGGAACUCAUGGUGUAGGGGUGAAAUCCGUUGAUAUCAUGGGGAACGCCAAAGGUGAAGACAGCAUGCUAGCACCUAUCUGACACUGAAACACGAAAGCGUGGGGAUCGAAAAGGAUUAGAUACCCUUGUAGUCCACGCCCUAAACGAUGAUCACUGGCUUUUCGGAGUAUCGACCCUCUGAGAGGCGAAGCUAACGCGUUAAGUGAUCCGCCUGGGAAGUACGAUCGCAAGAUUA
This 372-nucleotide ribosomal RNA is filed under the name uncultured organism. Its description in RNAcentral is "bacterial SSU rRNA". It matches the Rfam family "Bacterial small subunit ribosomal RNA", at positions 526 to 896 of the family's 1533-position model. The record is from RNAcentral.